This 494-nucleotide ribosomal RNA is filed under the name uncultured bacterium. RNAcentral's name for it is "partial 16S ribosomal RNA". It matches the Rfam family "Bacterial small subunit ribosomal RNA", at positions 28 to 507 of the family's 1533-position model. The record is from RNAcentral.
GACGAACGCUGGCGGCGUGCUUAACACAUGCAAGUCGAACGGUGAAGCGCCUUCCUUUUUGGUGGGUGUGGAUGAGUGGCGAACGGGUGAGUAACACGUGAGUAACCUGCCCCCUUCUUCUGGAUAACCGCAUGAAAGUGUGGCUAAUACGGGAUAUUCUGGGUCUGUCGCAUGAUGGGUCUGGGAAAGAUAUUGUUUCGGUGGGGGAUGGGCUCGCGGCCUAUCAGCUUGUUGGUGGGGUGAUGGCCUACCAAGGCGGUGACGGGUAGCCGGCCUGAGAGGGUGGACGGUCACACUGGGACUGAGACACGGCCCAGACUCCUACGGGAGGCAGCAGUGGGGAAUAUUGCACAAUGGACGCAAGCCUGAUGCAGCGACGCCGCGUGAGGGAUGGAGGCCUUCGGGUUGUGAACCUCUUUCGCCAGUGAAGCAGGCCUGCCUCGUUUGUGGGUGGGUUGACGGUAGCUGGAGAAGAAGCGCCGGCUAACUACGUG